This 253-nucleotide ribosomal RNA is filed under the name uncultured bacterium. RNAcentral describes it as "partial 16S ribosomal RNA". It matches the Rfam family "Bacterial small subunit ribosomal RNA", at positions 524 to 776 of the family's 1533-position model. The record is from RNAcentral.
UACGUAGGGUGCAAGCGUUAAUCGGAAUUACUGGGCGUAAAGCGUGCGCAGGCGGUUUUUUAAGCCAGAUGUGAAAGCCCCGGGCUCAACCUGGGAACUGCAUCUGGAACUACAAAACUUGAGUCUGGUAGAGGGGGGUAGAAUUCCGCGUGUAGCAGUGAAAUGCGUAGAGAUGCGGAGGAAUACCGAUGGCGAAGGCAGCCCCCUGGGAUAACACUGACGCUCAUGUGCGAAAGCGUGGGGAGCAAACAGG